Molecule: ribosomal RNA, 474 nt
Filed under: uncultured bacterium
Lineage: Bacteria
Description: bacterial SSU rRNA
Rfam family: Bacterial small subunit ribosomal RNA
Source: RNAcentral
AGAGUUUGAUCAUGGCUCAGAACGAACGCUGGCGGCAGGCUUAACACAUGCAAGCCGAACGCGUGUAGCAAUACACGAGUGGCGCACGGGUGAGUAACACGUGGAUAUCUGCCUUUUGGUUCGGAAUAACUCCGGGAAACUGGAGUUAAUACCGGAUGGUUCCUACGGGAUAAAGAUUUAUCGCCAAAAGAUGAGUCCGCGCACGAUUAGCUAGUUGGUGAGGUAAUGGCUCACCAAGGCGACGAUCGUUAGCUGGUCUGAGAGGACGAUCAGCCACACUGGGACUGAGACACGGCCCAGACUCCUACGGGAGGCAGCAGUGGGGAAUAUUGGACAAUGGGGGCAACCCUGAUCCAGCCAUGCCGCGUGAGUGAUGAAGGCCUUCGGGUUGUAAAGCUCUUUUGGCGGGGACGAUGAUGACGGUACCCGCAGAAUAAGCCCCGGCUAACUUCGUGCCAGCAGCCGCGGUAAUAC